UACGUAGGGUGCGAGCGUUAAUCGGAAUUACUGGGCGUAAAGCGUGCGCAGGCGGUUAUGCAAGACAGAUGUGAAAUCCCCGGGCUCAACCUGGGAACUGCAUUUGUGACUGCAUAGCUGGAGUGCGGCAGAGGGGGAUGGAAUUCCGCGUGUAGCAGUGAAAUGCGUAGAUAUGCGGAGGAACACCGAUGGCGAAGGCAAUCCCCUGGGCCUGCACUGACGCUCAUGCACGAAAGCGUGGGGAGCGAAUGGG
RNAcentral lists this ribosomal RNA (253 nucleotides) under uncultured bacterium. Its description in RNAcentral is "partial 16S ribosomal RNA". It matches the Rfam family "Bacterial small subunit ribosomal RNA", at positions 524 to 776 of the family's 1533-position model. The record is from RNAcentral.